Molecule: ribosomal RNA, 905 nt
Filed under: uncultured crenarchaeote
Lineage: Archaea; Thermoproteati; Thermoproteota
Description: bacterial SSU rRNA
Rfam family: Archaeal small subunit ribosomal RNA
Source: RNAcentral
CCCUACUGCUAUCGGGGUGGGACUAAGACAUGCGAGUCGAGCGUCUCCAGCUAUGGUGAGACGCGGCAGACGGCUCAGUAACACGUGGCUAACCUACCCUCAGGACGGGGACAAACCCGGGAAACUGGGGCUAAUACCCGAUAGGCGAGGGCGCCUGGAAUGGUUCUUCACCCAAAGGGCUUUGGAAGCAUGCUUUUCAAAGUCGCCUGGGGAUGGGGCCGCGUCCGAUCAGGUUGUUGGUGAGGUAACGGCUCACCAAGCCUAUAACCGGUACGGGCCGUGAGAGCGGUAGCCCGGAGAUGGGCACUGAGACAAGGGCCCAGGCCCCACGGGGCGCAGCAGUCGCGAAAACUCCGCAAUGCACGAAAGUGUGACGGGGCUACCCCGAGUGCCGUCCUCUGAGGAUGGCUUUUCCUCGGUGUAACUAGCCGGGGGAAUAAGGAGAGGGCAAGACUGGUGUCAGCCGCCGCGGUAAUACCAGCUCUCCGAGUGGUAGGGAUGAUAUUGGGCUUAAAGCGUCCGAAGCCGGCUUAAGCAAGUCUCCUGUUAAAUUCAGCGACCUAAUCGUUGAGCCGCGGGAGAUACUACUAGGCUAGGAGGCGGGAGAGUUCGACGGUAUUUCCGGGGUAGGGGUGAAAUCCUAUAAUCCCGGGAGGACCACCAGUGGCGAAGGCUGUCGACUAGAACGCGCUCGACGGUGAGGGACGAAAGCUGGGGGAGCGAACCGGAUUAGAUACCCGGGUAGUCCCAGCCGUAAACGAUGCGGGCUAGGUGUUGGGGUGGCUACGUGCCACUUCAGUGCCGCAGGGAAGCCAUUAAGCCCGCCGCCUGGGGAGUACGGCCGCAAGGCUGAAACUUAAAGGAAUUGGCGGGGGAGCACCACAAGGCGUGAAGCUUGCGGUUCA